This 253-nucleotide ribosomal RNA is filed under the name uncultured bacterium. RNAcentral describes it as "partial 16S ribosomal RNA". It matches the Rfam family "Bacterial small subunit ribosomal RNA", at positions 524 to 776 of the family's 1533-position model. The record is from RNAcentral.
UACAGAGGGGGCAAGCGUUGUUCGGAAUUACUGGGCGUAAAGGGCGCGUAGGCGGCCUGUUAAGUCGGACGUGAAAUCCCUCGGCUCAACCGAGGAACUGCAUCCGAUACUGGCGGGCUUGAAUCCGGGAGAGGGAUGUGGAAUUCCAGGUGUAGCGGUGAAAUGCGUAGAUAUCUGGAGGAACACCGGUGGCGAAGGCGGCAUCCUGGACCGGUAUUGACGCUGAGGCGCGAAAGCUAGGGGAGCAAACGGG